Molecule: unclassified non-coding RNA, 418 nt
Filed under: fungal sp.
Lineage: Eukaryota; Fungi
Description: partial internal transcribed spacer region
Rfam family: Group I catalytic intron (bases 134-398)
About the family: Group I catalytic introns are large self-splicing ribozymes. They catalyse their own excision from mRNA, tRNA and rRNA precursors in a wide range of organisms. The core secondary structure consists of 9 paired regions (P1-P9).
Source: RNAcentral
AAGUCGUAACAAGGUUUGGAUACAGCGCUUGAUUCCCUUCCGGAUUGAUGUUUACGAAAGUAGACUUCACACGUUUCAUUAUUUGAACGUAAAAUACAACUCAUAGCAAUGGAUAUCAAUCACUCUAGGUAUCUCACAGUUCUGAAUAGUUCAGAACUAGUUGAGUUAAAUCAACAAUAUUGUCCAAAUGCGGGGACUGUCCAGAAACGUGUUCGUCUACCCAGUACAGAUGCAAAUCUGCUACGACUUAUCAGCAAUGACUAAGGUAUGGUAACAGCGACGAACAUUCGACUGACCCGCAGCCAAGCUCUCUGAAUGAGAGUACAGUCCACAGACUAAAUGACAAUGCUGCACCUCAGUGCAGUAAGAUAUAGUACGAGCUGUGUGUUCUCGCACACAGGUAUACUGCUAGGUUCUC